GUCGGGAUAGCUCAGCUGGUAGAGCAGAGGACUGGAAAUC
RNAcentral lists this transfer RNA (40 nucleotides) under Corymbia calophylla. RNAcentral's name for it is "partial tRNA-Phe". The record is from RNAcentral. Lineage: Eukaryota; Viridiplantae; Streptophyta; Magnoliopsida; Myrtales; Myrtaceae.